This 497-nucleotide ribosomal RNA is filed under the name uncultured bacterium. Its description in RNAcentral is "partial 16S ribosomal RNA". It matches the Rfam family "Bacterial small subunit ribosomal RNA", at positions 28 to 507 of the family's 1533-position model. The record is from RNAcentral.
GAUGAACGCUGGCGGCGUGCCUAAUACAUGCAAGUCCAGCGAACAGACGAGGAGCUUGCUCCUCUGACGUUAGCGGCGGACGGGUGAGUAACACGUGGAUAACCUACCUAUAAGACUGGGAUAACUUCGGGAAACCGGAGCUAAUACCGGAUAAUAUAUUGAACCGCAUGGUUCAAUAGUGAAAGACGGUUUUGCUGUCACUUAUAGAUGGAUCCGCGCCGCAUUAGCUAGUUGGUAAGGUAACGGCUUACCAAGGCAACGAUGCGUAGCCGACCUGAGAGGGUGAGCGGCCACACGGGAAGUGAGAGACGGUCCAGAGGCCUAGGGGAGGCAGCAGUAGGGAAUCUUCCGCAAUGGGCGAAAGCGUGACGGAGGAACGCCGCGUGAGUGAUGAAGGUCUUCGGAUCGUAAAGGUCUGUUAUUAGGGAAGAACAAAGGUGGAAGUAACUAUGCAGGUCUUGACGGUACCGAAGCAGAAAGCCACGGGUAACUACGUG